GAUGAACGCUGGCGGCGUACCUAAUACAUGCAAGUCGAGCGAACAGACGAGGAGCUUGCUCCUCUGACGUUAGCGGCGGACGGGUGAGUAACACGUGGAUAACCUACCUAUAAGACUGGGAUAACUUCGGGAAACCGGAGCUAAUACCGGAUAAUAUAUUGAACCGCAUGGUUCAAUAGUGAAAGACGGUUUUGCUGUCACUUAUAGAUGGAUCCGCGCCGCAUUAGCUAGUUGGUAAGGUAACGGCUUACCAAGGCGACGAUGCGUAGCCGACCUGAGAGGGUGAUCGGCCACACUGGAACUGAGACACGGUCCAGACUCCUGCGGGAGGCAGCAGUAGGGAAUCUGCCGCAAUGGGCGAAAGCCUGACGGAGCAACGCCGCGUGAGUGAUGAAGGUCUUCGGAUCGUAAAACUCUGUUAUUAGGGAAGAACAAAUGUGUAAGUAACUAUGCACGUCUUGACGGUACCUAAUCAGAAAGCCACGGCUAACUACGUG
RNAcentral lists this ribosomal RNA (497 nucleotides) under uncultured bacterium. RNAcentral's name for it is "partial 16S ribosomal RNA". It matches the Rfam family "Bacterial small subunit ribosomal RNA", at positions 28 to 507 of the family's 1533-position model. The record is from RNAcentral.